Molecule: ribosomal RNA, 467 nt
Filed under: uncultured bacterium
Lineage: Bacteria
Description: partial 16S ribosomal RNA
Rfam family: Bacterial small subunit ribosomal RNA
Source: RNAcentral
GACGAACGCUGGCGGCGUGCUUAACACAUGCAAGUCGAACGGAAAGGCCCUGCUUUUGUGGGGUGCUCGAGUGGCGAACGGGUGAGUAACACGUGAGUAACCUGCCCUUGACUUUGGGAUAACUUCAGGAAACUGGGGCUAAUACCGGAUAGGAGCUCCUGCUGCAUGGUGGGGGUUGGAAAGUUUCGGCGGUUGGGGAUGGACUCGCGGCUUAUCAGCUUGUUGGUGGGGUAGUGGCUUACCAAGGCUUUGACGGGUAGCCGGCCUGAGAGGGUGACCGGCCACAUUGGGACUGGGAUACGGCCCAGACUCCUACGGGAGGCAGCAGUGGAGAAUAUUGCACAAUGGGCGGAAGCCUGAUGAAGCAACGCCGCGUGCGGGAUGACGGCCUUCGGGUUGUAAACCGCUUUCGCCUGUGACGAAGCGUGAGUGACGGUAAUGGGUAAAGAAGCACCGGCUAACUACGG